This 358-nucleotide ribosomal RNA is filed under the name Klebsiella sp. RNAcentral describes it as "bacterial SSU rRNA". It matches the Rfam family "Bacterial small subunit ribosomal RNA", at positions 506 to 865 of the family's 1533-position model. The record is from RNAcentral. Lineage: Bacteria; Pseudomonadati; Pseudomonadota; Gammaproteobacteria; Enterobacterales; Enterobacteriaceae.
AGCCAGCAACCUUUGUAAUACGGAGGGUGCAAGCGUUAAUUGGAAAUUCUGGGCAAAAAACGCACCCCACCGGUUUGUCAAGUUGGAUGUGAUAUCCCCGGGCUCAACCUGGGAAAUGCAUUUGAAACUGGCUGGCUGGAGUUUUGUAGAGGGGGGUAGAAUUCCAGGUGUAGCGGUGUAAUGCGUAGAGAUCUGGAGGAAUACCGGUGGCGAAGGCGGCCCCCUGGACAAAGACUGACGCUCAGGUGGGAAAGCGUGGGGAGCAAACGGGAUUAGAUACCCUGGUAGUCCCCGCCGUAAACGAUGUCAGAUUUGGAGGUUGUGCCCUUGAGGCGUGGUUUCCAGAGAAGCCUUAAAC